GCUUGUCUCAAAGAUUAAGCCAUGCAUGUCUUAGUGUAAAUAACUCUUAUGAAACUGCGAAUGGCUCAUUAAAUCAGUUAUCGUUUAUUUGAUGGUCCCUUACUACAUGGAUAACCGUAGUAAUUCUAGAGCUAAUACAUGCACAAAGGCCCGACUCACGGAGGGCUGUAUUUAUUAGAUGGAAACCAAUGCGGGGCAACCCGGAUUCUGGUGAUUCAUAAUAAUUAUCGGAUCGAUCGUAUGAUCGAUGCAUCAUUCAAGUUUCUGCCCUAUCAGCUUUGGAUGGUAGGGUAUUGGCCUACCAUGGCAUUAACGGGUAACGGAGAAUUAGGGUUCGAUUCCGGAGAGGGAGCCUGAGAAAUGGCUACCACAUCCAAGG
Molecule: ribosomal RNA, 379 nt
Filed under: uncultured Chrysophyceae
Lineage: Eukaryota; Chrysophyceae
Description: partial small subunit ribosomal RNA
Rfam family: Eukaryotic small subunit ribosomal RNA
Source: RNAcentral